AAAUAAACUAAAUCUAGCCAAAAUAGGAAGUAGAAGUGUGUUUGGACUGCUUGUUUAUGCACCUCGUCAGGGGGGGUGUUAAGAGAGGCAUUGAGUACAAUACCAUAUCAGGUAUAACGGUGAAAAUCUAUCAAGUAUGACUCGUCAAUGUUGAUAUAUCAAGUAUAGUCAUGAAAAUCUUGACCAAUCCUCCGUAUGCCACUUGGAGCUACUAAAUUCAUAACAUUUCAAACACCA
This 237-nucleotide unclassified non-coding RNA is filed under the name Hevea brasiliensis (rubber tree). The record is from RNAcentral. Lineage: Eukaryota; Viridiplantae; Streptophyta; Magnoliopsida; Malpighiales; Euphorbiaceae.